RNAcentral lists this ribosomal RNA (405 nucleotides) under uncultured bacterium. RNAcentral's name for it is "bacterial SSU rRNA". It matches the Rfam family "Bacterial small subunit ribosomal RNA", at positions 355 to 774 of the family's 1533-position model. The record is from RNAcentral.
UGGGGAAUUUUACGCAAUGGGGGAAACCCUGACGUAGCGACACCGCGUGAGCGAAGAAGCCUUUUGGGGUGUAAGGCUCUGUCAGCUGGAACGAACACAAUGACGGUACCAGCAGAGGAAGCAUCGGCUAACUACGUGCCAGCAGCCGCGGUAAGACGUAGGAUGCAAGCGUUGUCCGGAUUCAUUGGGCGUAAAGAGUUCGUAGGUGGUCUGUUAAGUUUGGUGUUAAAGAGCGGGGCCCAACCCCGAUAGUGCACUGAAUACUGGCAGACUUGAGUGCGGUAGAGGUAAGUGGAAUUCCAAGUGUAGCGGUGAAAUGCAUAGAUAUUUGGAAGAACACCGGUGGCGUAAGCGACUUACUGGGCCGUAACUGACACUGAGGAACGAAAGCCGGGGUAGCGAAUG